Molecule: long non-coding RNA, 474 nt
Filed under: Olea europaea (common olive)
Lineage: Eukaryota; Viridiplantae; Streptophyta; Magnoliopsida; Lamiales; Oleaceae
Description: long non-coding RNA (OEUR_LNC012549)
Source: RNAcentral
UUGAACGGAUUGCCCCAACCCAUAAAUUUCUCUUUUUAUUACUAUCUAUUACGCCAAUUUUCUCCAAACCCGCGAAGACAUAAACUCGGAAAAUUUCACUGUAAAUCUUCUCGGAUUACUCCAACACAUCAUUCUCUUUCUUUAUCACAAUCUUUUAUGCCAAUUCUUUCCCAAAUCCACAAACAAAAACAAAAGGUUGGAGUCCUAAAAAAUAAAAUUUUCAAAGUUUCAUCGUAAAUUUCAUCUUUUGACAAUGAUGGUUUUUGAUAUGGAAAGAAAUGGAAAAUGGUUUUUCUUGGUCAAUAUAUUGGUUAUUAUUGGCAAUCACUACAUGGUUUCAGAUUUUCAAUAUUCGAUUAGGAUUAUGAUCUUAUGAUUAAUAUAAAAAGUAAUAUUAUUCAGUCAGUCCCGUGCUAAACAGUGGUCUAGUGGCAAUCAAAUAGCAUUAAACAAUAUAUUUAUUUACGUAAGUUA